This 447-nucleotide long non-coding RNA is filed under the name Androctonus crassicauda. The record is from RNAcentral. Lineage: Eukaryota; Metazoa; Arthropoda; Arachnida; Scorpiones; Buthidae.
ACCGAUCAGAUUGUCCGUUUGAUCACCAUUAUCCAGUUUAUCAUAAAUUUUGUAUGGGUUUAUUUCAUAUCGUGUUCAUUGAAUUUGAGCAUUACUUAUUUAUUACAUAUUAUUAUUGUCAUUAUUAUAAACAUAGUACUAUACUGUAUUUGCUCUUGAAAUGCAGGUGGCAAGAUAUAGAAAGAGAACAACAAAUAAAGGAAGCUGGAAUCCUGAAGCAUUAAGUGCAGUCAUUAGUCAUAAAAAUGAUGGAAGAACAAUUCAUGAAGUGUCACGAUUAUUUGGCAUUCCCUUCUCAACACUGCAUGACAGAUUGAGGACUGGGAAUACUGAAAAUGCAUUGUUUGGUAGGAAAGCAUUAUUUUCUAAAGAUCAGGAGAAAGAAAUUACAGAUCAUUGCAUUGUGUUAGCUAAGAUGUUUUGGGAUAAUCUGCACUGCUCUCAAAC